Molecule: long non-coding RNA, 422 nt
Organism: Hypanus sabinus (Atlantic stingray)
Lineage: Eukaryota; Metazoa; Chordata; Chondrichthyes; Myliobatiformes; Dasyatidae
Exons: 3
Source: RefSeq, a predicted model, not a curated record
CUUGAGUUUUAAAAAAACAAAAAAAGGUUCAUAAACAAUGCUGCAGAUUUGUGUGAAGAGACAACAAGAUAGCAUCUGCUGUAGACCUGCUGCUAAGAAGGAGGGUCCACUAACAAUAGCAGCACAAAUGCAGAAAUGGACUCGGUUUCUUGGAGGGCACAAUUACAAGACCAAGAGGAAAACUAAUUAUGAAAAUGCCGUUGGAGCUUCUUGGAGAGAGGUGAAGGAAGGUGUCCGGUGCUGUCAGGGCCACUUCCUGCUGUCACAAAGUCAACUCCUACAACCACCACAGAUGAGGCCCCAGAACCUGAGAUUGUUUCACAGCCACAAGUCUCACCUGCCAAGCAGAGUGAUCCAACCCCCCCCCAACCUCCAGUCAGGGAAGAUAUUAUCCCACAAGACUAAGAAAUCCUCCACAGCAA